GAACGACUGCAACUUGGAGGGGAUAAAUUUCAAUUGAUGUCAUAAAUUGAUAUCCAUCCAUUUUUCAAACCCCAUGCCCUGCUUAGGAAAUAGCAUAUUAUUAGGCGAUUAAAUAAUUAAUUUGUUGUUAUUACUUAAACGCACGUGUUAAUGUGAUGUAAUUUCAUUCUUGUAGUAAGACAAGAAAUUGCUUUAUUUUUACUUAUAAAAUAUUUAAGGAGGUGUCUUUAGUCAUAUUUUACUGCCAUCUACCGGUCUUUUGGAACAAUAACAAAACAGCAGAAUAUAUAAAACAUUCAUAAGCAAUUAAGGAAAAAAAUGUCCGUGAAGCUGCAAAAAUACAUUUUUUUGAGAAAUGGGUAUAUAAAAAACAAAGUAAGUUAAUUCAUUAUUAUCUGUGAUCAUUUUUGCCUUCUUUGAGUCGUUAUCUACAAAUAUUUCGCUAGUGUGAAACAUAUCACUGUGACUGUCGCGCACAAAAUAAUUAAAAAGACGUUUAACUUCAAGUACAAUUGCGCUCCUGCACCAAAUCCCGGAGAUUAUUAAUAUUCCAUGCAGCACUUCAUUAAUUAAUUCAUCAGAGGCAGCUUGAACGCUCUGCGUGGAAAGUCCAUGGGAGAAGCUGCUUUAUGUGAAAAGUCCGCGUGAAAAGCUGGGCUAUGCGGCAGAUUCAUGUGAGAUGCCAGCCACCGGGGAAGCUGAUCUGUGUGGAGAAGCUGCUCUAUAUGAAAGUGGCUCAGCUCACGGGCGCAAUGCGCUGUCUGUCCUUCAGCUGCCUGCUCUUCUCCACUUUGCGCCGACAUGCUGACAGCUCUAUAACUGAAAAUCAGAAAGGGAUGAUUUGCAAGAAACAUCGGGAAAUGGUCAAAUGCACUACCUUACCGGAAGUGAAUUUUUCCCAUCUGAAGAUUUGUACGUCAGCGCAUGUGUUCUCAAAUCUGUCGGUCAUUUCCUUUUACCUGGUCAGAAGCCCUUGACCCUAGACAGAUGGCUUCAAGACCCCUCCCAACACCAGUUGUUGCCUUAGUUGCCUUAGUAACAUCUGCCAUGAAC
Long non-coding RNA from Paramormyrops kingsleyae, 1053 nucleotides. RefSeq lists it as uncharacterized. The record is from RefSeq and is a predicted model, not a curated record. Lineage: Eukaryota; Metazoa; Chordata; Actinopteri; Osteoglossiformes; Mormyridae.